AGAGUUUGAUCAUGGCUCAGGACGAACGCUGACGGUGUGCUUUAGACAUGCAAGUCGAACGAGAAAGCCCUUCGGGGUGAGUAAAGUGGCGAACGGGUGAGUAACACGUGGGCAAUCUGCCCCUCGCAGGGGGACAACCGGGGGAAACCCCGGCUAAUACCCCGUAAGCUCGAAAGGCCGCAUGGCCCUUCGAGGAAAGGUAGCUUCGGCCAUCCGGCGAGGGAUGAGCCCGCGGUGCAUUAGCUAGUUGGUGGGGUAACGGCUCACCAAGGCGACGACGCGUAGGGGGUCUGAGAGGACGGCCCCCCACAUUGGGACUGAGAUACGGCCCAGACUCCUACGGGAGGCAGCAGUGGGGAAUCUUGCGCAAUGGCCGAAAGGCUGACGCAGCGACGCCGCGUGCGGGAGGAAGGUCUUCGGAUCGUAAACCGCUGUCGGGAGGGAAGAAGAGACCAGGGAGGCAAUGCCCUGGUUCUGACGGUACCUCCAAAGGAAGCACCGGCUAACUCCGUGCCAGCAGCCGCGGUAAUACGGAGGGUGCAAGCGUUGUUCGGAAUUAUUGGGCGUAAAGCGCGCGCAGGCGGCCGCAUAAGUCUAUGGGUGAAAUGCCGGGGCUCAACCCCGUGCAUGCCCAGGAUACUGUGCGGCUAGAGACACGUAGAGGCAAGCGGAAUUCCGGGUGUAGCGGUGGAAUGCGUAGAGAUCCGGAAGAACACCGGAGGCGAAGGCGGCUUGCUGGGCGUGAUCUGACGCUGAGGCGCGAAAGCGUGGGGAGCGAACAGGAUUAGAUACCCCCGUAGUCC
RNAcentral lists this ribosomal RNA (803 nucleotides) under uncultured Gemmatimonas sp. RNAcentral's name for it is "bacterial SSU rRNA". It matches the Rfam family "Bacterial small subunit ribosomal RNA", at positions 8 to 796 of the family's 1533-position model. The record is from RNAcentral. Lineage: Bacteria; Pseudomonadati; Gemmatimonadota; Gemmatimonadia; Gemmatimonadales; Gemmatimonadaceae.